RNAcentral lists this ribosomal RNA (252 nucleotides) under uncultured bacterium. Its description in RNAcentral is "partial 16S ribosomal RNA". It matches the Rfam family "Bacterial small subunit ribosomal RNA", at positions 524 to 776 of the family's 1533-position model. The record is from RNAcentral.
UACGUAAGGACCGAGCGUUGUCCGGAAUCAUUGGGCGUAAAGGGUACGUAGGUGGUUAGAAAAGUUAGAAGUGAAAGGCUAUAGCUCAACUAUAGUAAGCGUUUAAAACUGUUUAACUUGAGAGAUGGAAGGGAAAGUGGAAUUCCUAGUGUAGCGGUGAAAUGCGUAGAUAUUAGGAGGAAUACCGGUGGCGAAGGCGCCUUUCUGGCUAAUAACUGACGCUGAGGUACGAAAGCGUGGGGAGCAAACAGG